AUAAAUAUUUAGCAAACUCAUCCAAAGGUGGGGACGCAAAGCUAUGGGUCUAAGGGACUUUAUAUCCUAUGAUUGCCAAGUUGCCGAU
Molecule: non-coding RNA, 88 nt
Filed under: Pelosinus fermentans
Lineage: Bacteria; Bacillati; Bacillota; Negativicutes; Selenomonadales; Sporomusaceae
Description: c-di-GMP sequence
Rfam family: c-di-GMP-I riboswitch aptamer
About the family: GEMM was predicted in a large-scale screen for bacterial structured RNA regulatory elements.
Source: RNAcentral